Molecule: long non-coding RNA, 798 nt
Organism: Cheilinus undulatus (humphead wrasse)
Lineage: Eukaryota; Metazoa; Chordata; Actinopteri; Labriformes; Labridae
Exons: 4
Source: RefSeq, a predicted model, not a curated record
CUUGGUCAGGAUGUGUUUUCUGGUUUCCAGCGGUGCUGCUGUGUCAGCAUAGCCUCACUCCUCACCAUGCUUUGUCCUGGAGUUCACCAUAAGGUCGCCUGACUCUCUAGCUCCAUCUAUCACAAAUGAUUCAGCCAACAGACUUCUUCCUGUUGGUGCAGCUGUUUUUGAUCUUCUCCAUCUGCUCCCGCUGGCUGUCACAGAUGAGGAAGAGCACCAAGCUAACGAUGAUGAGGGACUGGAUGAGUGAAGAGAAGAAGAAGAUGAUCCUCAUGUAAUAACCGCAGCUCUUCCCUUUGGGCUUGUGCAGCGGCUCCCUCGCCUCCAGGCCGAACUUGGCCCUGGAGUAGCUGGAGCUGUACAUGGCUGUUGGGGGUGAAAUGGUGCUGAAGCUUCGGGAUGUCAGUCAGGGAUGGAGGCAGAAAGCAGCAGAGAGAUGUUUAUUUCACACACUGACAGGCAGAAAUGGCAUGUAUAGAUGGAUAUAAACAAUGACCCCUAGGUGUGUGGAGGGGCCUUGUUUAUAAAUGCUGCUGGAGGCACACUUCCACUCCAUCCUGGCCCUGCCCUCAUCUCCCCCUCCUCCUUCUCUCCUCCCUGUUCGACCUCUGUCACAGUUUCAGCCUCCAGCUGCACUGACUCAUCAAGAACUUUCCUAAAGCCUGGAAAAGAUUAGGAAGAUGAAAUAAAGUUUAAGAUCACCUACAGGCAUGUUUUAUGACAGAAAAAACACUUUAAAUAAAACUUCAAUUUGAUAUGCUUUUCUCAUAAUAAAAGACAACCUAUUUCUUUAAGCUA